UACAGAGGUCUCAAGCGUUGUUCGGAUUCAUUGGGCGUAAAGGGUGCGUAGGCGGCGCGGUAAGUCGGGUGUGAAAUCUUGGAGCUUAACUCCGAAACUGCAUUCGAUACUGCCGUGCUUGAGGACUGGAGAGGAGACUGGAAUUUACGGUGUAGCGGUGAAAUGCGUAGAUAUCGUAAGGAAGACCAGUGGCGAAGGCGGCUCUCUGGACAGUUCCUGACGCUGAGGCACGAAGGUCAGGGGAGCAAACGGG
This 253-nucleotide ribosomal RNA is filed under the name uncultured bacterium. Its description in RNAcentral is "partial 16S ribosomal RNA". It matches the Rfam family "Bacterial small subunit ribosomal RNA", at positions 524 to 776 of the family's 1533-position model. The record is from RNAcentral.